RNAcentral lists this ribosomal RNA (903 nucleotides) under Triticum aestivum (bread wheat). RNAcentral's name for it is "partial small subunit ribosomal RNA". The record is from RNAcentral. Lineage: Eukaryota; Viridiplantae; Streptophyta; Magnoliopsida; Poales; Poaceae.
AUGCCCAUACUGCGCAUUGGCACCUCUAUCUCUGUUGGAUCAGGAGCCUCGACCCUGUUCUGGUUCGACCGUUGGCUAGGGGACGCCCCCCUGGCGGUUCGUUUCCCGGAGCUAUUUGCCAUUGCAGCUGACCCUCGGGUCUCGGUCGAGACGGCCCUUAUUGACUUAGGGCGUCUCGCCUUUCGGCGUCCGUUUGGCCCCCUGGAGGUGGCCGCCUGGGACUCCCUCCUCCAGGAUAUUGCUCUUCUGCCGAUGGAGGUGGAGGAGGACAGGGAUGUUGUAUCCUGGCACCUCGAGUCCUCCGGUCGUUUCUCCACGAAGUCCUUAUACGGUGCCAUUGCCCCCUCGGCGGCCCCGGAACCAUUUAGCCUGAUUUGGGAUAUCCGUCUCCCGCUGAAGAUCCGGAUCUUCCUUUGGCAAUGGAUCCGUGGCCGACUUCCCUCGGGUGUUGAGGUUCUCAAGCGGAAUGGCCCCGGUGAUGGGAGGUGCCCUAUCUGUGGCACCAUUGAGGAUGCCAACCACAUCUUUUUCUCCUGCCACUCCGCCCAGUUCCUUUGGGCCUGCUUCCGCGAAACGGUUGGCGGACAGUGGUGUAAUACCAACUUCCCCAACCUGCUUGCCGAGCUUAAUGCCUGCCCUACCCGCUUCCGCCAUAUUAGAUGGCUGUGCGUAGGGGUUCUUGCCUGGACGCUUUGGAACAUCCGCAAUAAGCUUGUUAUUCAGAAGGUGCCCCUUCAUCGUGCGACUGAUGCAAUCUUCAAACUGUGUGGUUACCUGCAGCUUUGGCGGCCGCUUAGCCGCCUCCAGGACCGGGACGUCAUCACCGCCCUUCUCUCCGAUCUCCGCUCGAUGGCGCUCCGCGUGGCACCCCCGCUGCCGCCUCCUCCCCCUGAGCCCGACUAG